UCCGAUGUGGUGUAUCGGUAACAUAUCCGCCUCUCAUUUGGCAGACUUGCAUAUAUUGACGCGGUUGCGCGGGGUUCGAUUCCCCGCAUCGGAA
Roridomyces roridus is the source of this 94-nucleotide non-coding RNA. The record is from the annotation of a GenBank genome assembly. NCBI's taxonomy places the organism in Eukaryota, Fungi, Basidiomycota, Agaricomycetes, Agaricales, Mycenaceae.